UGGGAAGGAAGGUCGUGGACAACAAAGUAAUGAACAAAAAUAUGUUUCACGCAUGAGAAGCUGUCCGAGAUGGCAGUGAGGGAGAGGUCAUGGCAAACGGUGUUUAUGGCAUGGAAAAGUGAAGAUUCAAAAAAAAACCCAAGGAGAGGCCAAGAUAGUGUGGAAAAUAUCCACCCCCUCCCAGAGACAGCUCAUUAGGAAGGUUUUGGAGGGAGACUCGCAGGAGGUCAGGGGCUGCUGUGUUAUCUUUGGAGGAAAGGCCAUCCCUUCUCUUCCCCUCCGCAGACGUAUCCAGUGAGACAACUCUCUCCCCAGCAAGCUUUUCUCAGGGAGCAGGCAGUUUCUUGAAAAAAUGAACCAGAUGAGGAUCCACCCACCUCCAGAAACAAAGACUGUGGCUGUCUCCAAGAAUGAAGCACCAGUCUCUUAGUUGUGAGUAGGUAUUACAAAUAUAAUCAGGGAAAAGAAGCUAUUUUAAAAAAUCGGUCAUUGGGCAGGAUGUUCCAAAGGGCAGAUGAAUGUAACUUCCAAGAUGAAGUAACCGGAUGUCUGUCAACUCAGAAAACAAGGUAAAUUGUAACCACUGAAAGUCCGCUGUUUCGAUUCUGGGCAAGAUGCUAUGGCAGAACAGGGACCAUGAUGAACUACUUAGAAAAAUACAUAAGGCCAUAAAUAAUGUGUGAUUAUUUGAUGAAUGCCUGUCUCUCCCACUGGGACCAUCAGCUUAGAAAAGAAAUGAUGUGGAUGUGCUCACCAAGUUAUUUGCAGAGCUUAGCAGAGUGGGAUAGAAGAGACCCAUGCAGGAGACCUCUCCAGGUACACAUAUUUCCUGCUACUGAAUGGCUUAGACUGGGAUUUGCAAGGAACUACGAAGUCCAAGACCUUUGCCUUUCUUUUAGAAGAAGGCACCAGCUGGUUCUCCAAUGUUGAAGGUCUUCUCCAGAGAUACCUUAAGGUGUGGGGAGAUUACAACUUGCUCAAGGUCUCAUAGCUAGAAGAUGUCAGAGUGAUAACUCAAACCAUGUCACAUGACUCUAAGCCCAAAGCAGCCUCUAGAAGGUUGUUUGAUCUUCUGAUGGAAGCACAAAUCACCAUUCCAACAUGAAAGAUGGAGAAACUUAAGUCUAGAGAGAUUUAAAGGACUUGUCAAAGGCAAUGAAACAAGUGGAACUCUGAAAGCCACAUGUUGAGAUGGCCCCAUUACAGGAUGGAGAGCACCUGAACCCCCAAGUUAUGGACUAGAAGAAGACAGUUGCCCUGGAAAAUCAUCUGACCCACAUUGGACUUUAUGUGAGGGGGAAAUAAACCUUUAUUAUGUUAAGCUACACA
This is a long non-coding RNA of Homo sapiens (human), 1329 nucleotides long. Ensembl annotates it as long intergenic non-protein coding RNA 511. Lineage: Eukaryota; Metazoa; Chordata; Mammalia; Primates; Hominidae. The record is from Ensembl.